AGUUCAUAAAAUAAAAUGUUAACCGUCACUUAGUUUUGGAAAUUGACGGAGAUCCGACCGUUGGAUGGUAAUGAAAUUUUAGGAUGUUGUCCUAGAGGUAUAUUGUGGACCUCUGGAAGUUAUGGAUUUAAAAUCUGAGUGGCAGAUCUUCCGGAUCGAACUACGUAGUGACGUAUUUUAUAUAAGUUAUAUAUUCUAUCGAUAUGAAUUCUGAGGUUGGAUUUGAUUACUGUUUUAGGCGCCGAUCGUCAUGACGCCUUGGCGUAUUGUGCUAGGGAAUUGUAGGGAGAACUCCAGGUGAGUGGGCAGUUUUGUUUUCGUAUUACCUAUAUACAACUGUUUUUCCCAGAAAAUACGUUUAUAUGAAAAUUAUGAUUUAAAUUGCCAUGCAUGCAAAUGUUGAGAUAUUUAGUUUAAUAAUUGAUGCAUAUAUAUGUUAAUUGACGCGGUGGACGCACAGGUGAGUUUUUAUAUUAUUCAGAUGAGUUAUUUGAUGAAAAUUGCAUUGAAAGCUCAUAACCUGCACCCUAGGUGAUAGUGCUUAUAUUAUUCACCACACCGCACGCUCGUCUUGGAUCCAAGUAGGUGGAUGUCAUACAGACCAUGUGAGGGUUCCGACAUGCUAGUCGUAUAGAUCACUAGAUGUGAUUCCGACUAGUGGGUG
Molecule: long non-coding RNA, 664 nt
Filed under: Malus domestica (apple)
Lineage: Eukaryota; Viridiplantae; Streptophyta; Magnoliopsida; Rosales; Rosaceae
Description: long non-coding RNA (MDOM_LNC018228)
Source: RNAcentral